This 443-nucleotide ribosomal RNA is filed under the name uncultured bacterium. Its description in RNAcentral is "partial 16S ribosomal RNA". It matches the Rfam family "Bacterial small subunit ribosomal RNA", at positions 338 to 795 of the family's 1533-position model. The record is from RNAcentral.
CCUACGGGAGGCAGCAGUGGGGAAUAUUGGGCACUGGGCGCAAGCCUGCCCCAGCAACGCCGCGUGAAGGAAGAAGGCUUUCGGGUUGUAAACUUCUUUUCUCAGGGACGAAGCAAGUGACGGUACCUGAGGAAUAAGCCACGGCUAACUACGUGCCAGCAGCCGCGGUAAUACGUAGGUGGCAAGCGUGAUCAGGAUUUACUGGGUGUAAAGGGCGUGUAGGCGGGCCUGCAAUUCAGAUGUGAAGACCAUGGUCUCAACCUAUGGCCUGCAUUUGAAACUGUAGUUCUUGAGUACUGGAGAGGCAGACGGAAUGCCUAGUGUAGCGGUGAAAUGCGUAGAUAUUAGGAGGAACACCAGUGGCGAAGGCGGUCUGCUGGACAGCAACUGACGCUGAGGCGCGAAAGCGUGGGGAGCAAACAGGAUUAGAUACCCCAGUAGUC